CGUUCUCUAUAAACAUCUUUUGGUAGCUUUGCUCGUUAACACUAUUAACUACUAACUUGACUACUCAUCGUAGCCGUUCAGAUUAGUGUAUUCAUCAUCAACGUAAUAAUUGUAUUCGAUUUAGUUCUUCUUUUAUGAGUCGUUUAGUUUUGUCACUGUAUUUUGAAAGUAUGUAAAGGAAGUCGGCUGAUUGUACUCAUGAAUAUGUUCUGACCACUAGAGGGCAGUAAACUCUCCACUGAUCCGUUUCUUACACUACCGUUAACAUAACUUCCACCCUAAGAGAAAUUGCCACUAACAUUGGAUGUACUGUAAUAGAAGUUGAGAAAGGAGGCCAGAGGACAGGAGCAGCUGCAGAGAGGCUCUGCUGGAGCCUGUGAGGAACCACUGUCUUGCUGAGGCAGGGCGGCUCUGGAUAUCUCCACCAGGAACCCUCAGGAUGACUUUGAGA
Monopterus albus (swamp eel) is the source of this 451-nucleotide long non-coding RNA. RefSeq lists it as uncharacterized. The record is from RefSeq and is a predicted model, not a curated record. Lineage: Eukaryota; Metazoa; Chordata; Actinopteri; Synbranchiformes; Synbranchidae. The transcript is spliced from 3 exons.